This 67-nucleotide transfer RNA is filed under the name Elimaea cheni. RNAcentral's name for it is "tRNA-Gly". The record is from RNAcentral. Lineage: Eukaryota; Metazoa; Arthropoda; Insecta; Orthoptera; Tettigoniidae.
AUUUAUUCAGUAUAAUUAGUACAUUUGGCUUCCAACCAAAAAGCUUGAUUUAACAUCAAAAUAAAUA